AUGACCCACGAGAAAGGGAAAGGGGAAAACACCAAUCCUGCGCUGGGCUUUUUCGACUUUUCCUUUAAAAAGAAAAAAGUUUUUCAAGCUGUAGGUUCCAAGAACCGGCAGGAGGGGGGCGAGGCGGGGUGGGGGGGUGUACAGAAAAGGCGCCUGGUCGGUUAUGAGUCACAAGUGGGUUAUAAAAGGGUCGCACGUUCGCAGGCGCGGGCUUCCUGUGCGCGGCUGAGCCGGGGCGCAGCGCGACGGUCCCAUCGGGCGGCCUCCACCCUCGGGACGCGAGCGGAGCGCCGAGCCCAGCGGCGAUCACGCGACGCGGGGAAGGAAGGAAGAUCUCUCCUUUCAAAGAUAACUAGCCAAAUGAACAUAAUAAACAAGUCCAAGCAGUUGGAGGGGCGGCCGCCACCCCACCGUCUCCAAAUAACUGAUUCGCAUUUCCGAGACGGUUCACCUGAAGCCUUGCCUGCCACCUUGGUUCUCCCACCUGAAGGAGAUGGUUCUAAUGGUGGUGCAAACCAGGAAGGGGAAAUCUGUGGUUUACGUUCUCUGUGCCUCAUCCCUCUCGGAGAGCUGGAGGCUUGCUGGAGGCUAUAUGCUGUUAAUGCUAAUUGUGAUAGGGGUUUUUACCUCCGUCUGACUCCUACAUGUUAG
This 651-nucleotide long non-coding RNA is filed under the name Sus scrofa (pig). RNAcentral's name for it is "lncRNA (ENSSSCG00045024720.1)". The stretch from base 596 to 651 matches the Rfam family "mir-155 microRNA precursor family", at positions 1 to 56 of the family's 65-position model. Lineage: Eukaryota; Metazoa; Chordata; Mammalia; Artiodactyla; Suidae. The record is from RNAcentral.